CCUAUAGACUCUCAAAGCUUCUGCCCCAGUUUCACAUGGCCACAACCAACUCCAGGAAGGCAGGGAAGUACAACCCUACCAUGAGCCCAAAAGGAGAACCAGAAAUACUUAGACACGAGCACUAAUUACUACCACAUCCUGUUCAGAGCAUAGAAUAAAACUACUUUCUGACCUGCUUCUGAAGUUGGAUGUGGCUGGCUGUGUGACCCAGUUCAGUCAAAGAAAUAGAGGAAACUUUGAGAACUAGGAGACUUUAAGAACUAAGAACUAGAACAAAAUUUGUUUGGCUCUUGCUUUCUCUCUGCCAUGGCCUGGCAAUAUUCCACAUAGUGGCUUCUCCUUCAGCCCCGGUUCCAGAGUGAGAACUGACAGCAGAGCUCCCAUUGACUUCCAGCAGGCAUGUGGAGUUAGUCACAGUUGGUAGAUCUUUGGGAAGUCCAAUCUGUCUUCCCAAGCCCUCUGACAGUGUGCUCAGCCUUCGCCGUUUCCCCUGUGAUCUCGCCAAGCUUGUUGCGGCUGCUGCUAAGUCACUUCAGCAGUGUGCGACCCCAUAGACGGCAGCCCACCAGGCUCCCCCGUCCCUGGGACUCUCCAGGCAAGAACACUGGAGUCGGUUGCCAUUUCCUUCUCCAAUGCAUGAAAGUGAAAAGUGAAAGUGAAGUCGCUCAGUCGUGUCAGACUCUUAGCGACCCCAUGGACUGCAGCCCACCAGGCUCCUCCAUCCAUGGGAUUUUCCAGGCGAGAGUUCUGGAGUGGGGUGCCAUUGCCUUCUCCAAGCUUGUUGUUAGGGCAGUUCUAGUCAUAGGCCUUCCUUUAGGGCAGUUGUUCUCAAACUUUAGCAUGUAUCAGAAUCAUCUGAAGUGUUUGUUAAAAACAGAUUUCUAGGCUUUUUCCCUUGAGUCUGAUUGAGUAGAUCUGAGGUGGGACUCUAGAAUUAGUAUUUCCAACUGUAUGUCUAUAACAAAUUUCCAGGUGAUGCUAAUGCUUCAAGCCUAUGAACUUGAUGCUAAUGCUUCAAGUUGGGAAUGACCAACUGAGAAAUACCGCUUUAGAACAUGAUCCUUAUUUUCUUUUUUUUUUUCUCAGAGAACAGGCUCUAGGCCUUGUGGGCUUCAGUAGUUGUGGUUUUCAGGCUCUAGAGCACAGGUCCAACAGUUGUGGAGCAUGGGCUUAAAUGCUCCAUGGCAUGUGGGAUCUUCCGAGAUCAGGGAUUGAACCUAUGUCUCCUGCACUGCAAGCAUAUUCUUUACCACUGAACCAC
This is a long non-coding RNA of Bos taurus (domestic cattle), 1261 nucleotides long. The record is from Ensembl. NCBI's taxonomy places the organism in Eukaryota, Metazoa, Chordata, Mammalia, Artiodactyla, Bovidae.